AAAUUGAAGAGUUUGAUCAUGGCUCAGAUUGAACGCUGGCGGCAGGCCUAACACAUGCAAGUCGAACGGUAACAGGAAGCAGCUUGCUGCUUCGCUGACGAGUGGCGGACGGGUGAGUAAUGUCUGGGAAACUGCCUGAUGGAGGGGGAUAACUACUGGAAACGGUAGCUAAUACCGCAUAAUGUCGCAAGACCAAAGAGGGGGACCUUCGGGCCUCUUGCCAUCGGAUGUGCCCAGAUGGGAUUAGCUUGUUGGUGGGGUAACGGCUCACCAAGGCGACGAUCCCUAGCUGGUCUGAGAGGAUGACCAGCCACACUGGAACUGAGACACGGUCCAGACUCCUACGGGAGGCAGCAGUGGGGAAUAUUGCACAAUGGGCGCAAGCCUGAUGCAGCCAUGCCGCGUGUAUGAAGAAGGCCUUCGGGUUGUAAAGUACUUUCAGCGGGGAGGAAGGGAGUAAAGUUAAUACCUUUGCUCAUUGACGUUACCCGCAGAAGAAGCACCGGCUAACUCCGUGCCAGCAGCCGCGGUAAUACGGAGGGUGCAAGCGUUAAUCGGAAUUACUGGGCGUAAAGCGCACGCAGGCGGUUUGUUAAGUCAGAUGUGAAAUCCCCGGGCUCAACCUGGGAACUGCAUCUGAUACUGGCAAGCUUGAGUCUCGUAGAGGGGGGUAGAAUUCCAGGUGUAGCGGUGAAAUGCGUAGAGAUCUGGAGGAAUACCGGUGGCGAAGGCGGCCCCCUGGACGAAGACUGACGCUCAGGUGCGAAAGCGUGGGGAGCAAACAGGAUUAGAUACCCUGGUAGUCCACGCCGUAAACGAUGUCGACUUGGAGGUUGUGCCCUUGAGGCGUGGCUUCCGGAGCUAACGCGUUAAGUCGACCGCCUGGGGAGUACGGCCGCAAGGUUAAAACUCAAAUGAAUUGACGGGGGCCCGCACAAGCGGUGGAGCAUGUGGUUUAAUUCGAUGCAACGCGAAGAACCUUACCUGGUCUUGACAUCCACAGAACUUUCCAGAGAUGGAUUGGUGCCUUCGGGAACUGUGAGACAGGUGCUGCAUGGCUGUCGUCAGCUCGUGUUGUGAAAUGUUGGGUUAAGUCCCGCAACGAGCGCAACCCUUAUCCUUUGUUGCCAGCGGUCCGGCCGGGA
Molecule: ribosomal RNA, 1145 nt
Filed under: Escherichia coli
Lineage: Bacteria; Pseudomonadati; Pseudomonadota; Gammaproteobacteria; Enterobacterales; Enterobacteriaceae
Description: bacterial SSU rRNA
Rfam family: Bacterial small subunit ribosomal RNA
Source: RNAcentral